GACGAACGCUGGCGGCGUGCUUAACACAUGCAAGUCGAACGGAAAGGCCCUGCUUUUGUGGGGUGCUCGAGUGGCGAACGGGUGAGUAACACGUGAGUAACCUGCCCUUGACUUUGGGAUAACUUCAGGAAACUGGGGCUAAUACCGGAUAGGAGCUCCUGCUGCAUGGGGGGGGUUGGAAAGUUUCGGCUGUUGGGGAUGGACUCGCGGGUUAUCAGCUUGUUGGUGGGGUAGUGGCUUACCAAGGCUUUGACGGGUAGCCGGCCUGAGAGGGUGACCGGCCACAUUGGGACUGAGAUACGGCGCAGACUCCUACGGGAGGCAGCAGUGGGGAAUAUUGCACAAUGGGCGGAAGCCUGAUGCAGCAACGCCGCGUGCGGGAUGACGGCCUUCGGGUUGUAAACCGCUUUCGCCUGUGACGAAGCGUGAGUGACGGUAAUGGGUAAAGAAGCACCGGCUAACUACGUG
RNAcentral lists this ribosomal RNA (468 nucleotides) under uncultured bacterium. RNAcentral's name for it is "partial 16S ribosomal RNA". It matches the Rfam family "Bacterial small subunit ribosomal RNA", at positions 28 to 507 of the family's 1533-position model. The record is from RNAcentral.